This 345-nucleotide ribosomal RNA is filed under the name uncultured bacterium. RNAcentral describes it as "bacterial SSU rRNA". It matches the Rfam family "Bacterial small subunit ribosomal RNA", at positions 28 to 403 of the family's 1533-position model. The record is from RNAcentral.
GACGAACGCUGGCGGCAGGCCUAACACAUGCAAGUCGAGCGCCCUGCAAGGGGAGCGGCGGACGGGUGAGUAACGCGUGGGAAUUUUUCCUGGAGUACGGAACAACCGAGGGAAACUUCGGCUAAUACCGUAUGAUGCCGAGAGGCCAAAGAUUUAUCGCUCUGGGGUGAGCCCGCGUCAGAUUAGGUAGUUGGUGGGGUAAUGGCCUACCAAGCCUGCGAUCUGUAGCUGGUCNGAGAGGACGAUCAGCCACACUGGGACUGAGACACGGCCCAGACUCCUACGGGAGGCAGCAGUGGGGAAUCUUGCGCAAUGGGCGCAAGCCUGACCCAGCAACGCCGCGUG